RNAcentral lists this ribosomal RNA (460 nucleotides) under uncultured bacterium. RNAcentral's name for it is "partial 16S ribosomal RNA". It matches the Rfam family "Bacterial small subunit ribosomal RNA", at positions 338 to 795 of the family's 1533-position model. The record is from RNAcentral.
CCUACGGGAGGCAGCAGUGAGGAAUAUUGGUCAAUGGGCGCGAGCCUGAACCAGCCAAGUAGCGUGAAGGAUGACUGCCCUACGGGUUGUAAACUUCUUUUAUAAAGGAAUAAAGUGAGGCACGUGUGCCUGUUGGGAUGUACGUUAUGAAUAAGGAUCGGCUAACUCCGGGCCAGCAGCCGCGGUAAUACGGAGGAUCCGAGCGUUAUCCGGAUUUAUGGGGUGUAAAGGGAGCGUAGAUGGGUGUAUAAGUCAGUUGUGAAAGUUUGCGGCUCAACCGUAAAAUUGGCAUUGAUACUGGCAGUCUUGAGUACAGUUGAGGUAGGCGGAAUUCGUGGUGUAGCGGUGAAAUGCUUAGAUAUCACGAAGAACUCCGAUUGCGAAGGCAGCUUACUAAACUGCCACUGACAUUGAUGCUCGAAAGUGUGGGUAUCAAACAGGAUUAGAUACCCUUGUAGUC